ACCUGUGUGCUUCACUCACCCCUGUGUGUUACAUCGAACUCUUCAGCUAUGGACAAAAGGUUUCUGUUGGUCAUCCUGAGUCUGCAGGUCAUCCUGCUCCUCCCAGCCUGUGCUGAUGCAGCUGAUCUGGUCACAAGACGGCCUCCUCGUAGGGGAAAACCGAAUCAAUUCAACUGUUGGAAAUUUCCCGGUGCAUGUGGCAUUUUGUCUACAGCGAGACAGAGACAGUACAACGAUCCAAACCCCUGACAUUAUCUCAGUGCAACAUAAAAUGUGACCACAAGAUGGAGUCGCAGCUUACACUUUAUGGCCAUAUGUUUGGAAGAAAUGUUCCAUUACAACUAACUGUGCAUGCUUUUAUACUAAAUGUAAGAACUAAAAAUCAAUAAACAAUUUGUUUCCCAUCCAUA
This is a long non-coding RNA of Solea senegalensis (Senegalese sole), 410 nucleotides long. RefSeq lists it as uncharacterized. The transcript has 3 exons. NCBI's taxonomy places the organism in Eukaryota, Metazoa, Chordata, Actinopteri, Pleuronectiformes, Soleidae. The record is from RefSeq and is a predicted model, not a curated record.